Non-coding RNA from Vicia faba (fava bean), 328 nucleotides. Lineage: Eukaryota; Viridiplantae; Streptophyta; Magnoliopsida; Fabales; Fabaceae. The record is from the annotation of a GenBank genome assembly.
UAUGACCAUUCAGCUUCAAUUCACUCAACCCCUACUCCUUAUUUUAGGUGGCGAUUUUCGGCAGCCUUCUCCGCCGCACCGAAAAUCGCUUCUAGCGGCGGCUGGUGUCCAAACAACACUAAACCACCAUGAUAUUAUUCGUCUUCCAUCCUUCCAUCAACAUCUGACUUUUGUUUCCAUGAUUCUUCACAAAAAUAUUCUCAAUAUACCUCUCAACAAAAACCCUAAAAAAUGGAAAACGCAAUUAAAUGACGGUGAUGCGCCAACUCGAACCACAAGCAUGGGGAGAAAACUCAGGGAGUCGAUGGAUACGUGGUGGUAUCAAUAA